GCCCUCGGUGGCUCAGAUGGAUAGAGCGUCUGCCAUGUAAGCAGGAGAUCCUGGGUUCGAGUCACAGUCGGGGCA
Molecule: transfer RNA, 75 nt
Filed under: Schistocerca americana (American grasshopper)
Lineage: Eukaryota; Metazoa; Arthropoda; Insecta; Orthoptera; Acrididae
Description: tRNA-Thr
Rfam family: tRNA
About the family: Transfer RNA (tRNA) molecules are approximately 80 nucleotides in length. Their secondary structure includes four short double-helical elements and three loops (D, anti-codon, and T loops). Further hydrogen bonds mediate the characteristic L-shaped molecular structure. tRNAs have two regions of fundamental functional importance: the anti-codon, which is responsible for specific mRNA codon recognition, and the 3' end, to which the tRNAs corresponding amino acid is attached (by aminoacyl-tRNA synthetases). tRNAs cope with the degeneracy of the genetic code in two manners: having more than one tRNA (with a specific anti-codon) for a particular amino acid; and 'wobble' base-pairing, i.e. permitting non-standard base-pairing at the 3rd anti-codon position.
Source: RNAcentral